This is a long non-coding RNA of Haliotis rubra (blacklip abalone), 191 nucleotides long. RefSeq lists it as uncharacterized. The transcript is spliced from 3 exons. The record is from RefSeq and is a predicted model, not a curated record. NCBI's taxonomy places the organism in Eukaryota, Metazoa, Mollusca, Gastropoda, Lepetellida, Haliotidae.
UGAAAAAAAUCUUGGCUACCCAGUUAACUGCAAUCAACGUCAAUGACUUGGUCAAGGUGGACGGAUACAUUACUAGACGGGUAACGAGAAUAAUACAACCACUAAAUUCCUUUUUGCUAGAAUGUGAUAAAGUCACAAAGUAUAGACUGAAAAUGUUGCCGGAAAUGAUAGUGAUACCGAGCAUCACGCCA